RNAcentral lists this transfer RNA (77 nucleotides) under compost metagenome. Its description in RNAcentral is "tRNA-Asp". It matches the Rfam family "tRNA". From Rfam's summary of the family: Transfer RNA (tRNA) molecules are approximately 80 nucleotides in length. Their secondary structure includes four short double-helical elements and three loops (D, anti-codon, and T loops). The record is from RNAcentral.
GGAGGGUUAGCUCAAUUGGUUAGAGCACUGGCUUGUCACGCCAGAGGUUGCGAGUUCGAGUCUCGUAUUCUCCGCCA